Molecule: ribosomal RNA, 142 nt
Filed under: uncultured Bacteroidota bacterium
Lineage: Bacteria; Pseudomonadati; Bacteroidota
Description: uncultured Bacteroidetes bacterium partial 16S ribosomal RNA
Rfam family: Bacterial small subunit ribosomal RNA
Source: RNAcentral
ACUCCUACGGGAGGCAGCAGUGAGGAAUAUUGGGCAAGGGAGGCAACUCUGACCACAGCCAUGCCGCGUGCAGGAAGACGGCCCUAUGGGUUGUAAACUGCUUUUAUACAGGAAGAAACACUGGUAGUAUACCAGCUGACGG